RNAcentral lists this ribosomal RNA (2624 nucleotides) under Salmonella enterica subsp. enterica. RNAcentral describes it as "partial 23S ribosomal RNA". It matches the Rfam family "Bacterial large subunit ribosomal RNA". The record is from RNAcentral. Lineage: Bacteria; Pseudomonadati; Pseudomonadota; Gammaproteobacteria; Enterobacterales; Enterobacteriaceae.
UUAACUGAAUCCAUAGGUUAAUGAGGCGAACCGGGGGAACUGAAACAUCUAAGUACCCCGAGGAAAAGAAAUCAACCGAGAUUCCCCCAGUAGCGGCGAGCGAACGGGGAGGAGCCCAGAGCCUGAAUCAGCAUGUGUGUUAGUGGAAGCGUCUGGAAAGGCGCGCGAUACAGGGUGACAGCCCCGUACACAAAAGCGCAUGUGCUGUGAGCUCGAUGAGUAGGGCGGGACACGUGGUAUCCUGUCUGAAUAUGGGGGGACCAUCCUCCAAGGCUAAAUACUCCUGACUGACCGAUAGUGAACCAGUACCGUGAGGGAAAGGCGAAAAGAACCCCGGCGAGGGGAGUGAAAAAGAACCUGAAACCGUGUACGUACAAGCAGUGGGAGCACCCUUUGGGUGUGACUGCGUACCUUUUGUAUAAUGGGUCAGCGACUUAUAUUCUGUAGCAAGGUUAACCGAAUAGGGGAGCCGGAGGGAAACCGAGUCUUAACCGGGCGUUAAGUUGCAGGGUAUAGACCCGAAACCCGGUGAUCUAGCCAUGGGCAGGUUGAAGGUUGGGUAACACUAACUGGAGGACCGAACCGACUAAUGUUGAAAAAUUAGCGGAUGACCUGUGGCUGGGGGUGAAAGGCCAAUCAAACCGGGAGAUAGCUGGUUCUCCCCGAAAGCUAUUUAGGUAGCGCCUCGUGAAUUCAUCUCCGGGGGUAGAGCACUGUUUCGGCUAGGGGGCCAUCCCGGCUUACCAACCCGAUGCAAACUGCGAAUACCGGAGAAUGUUAUCACGGGAGACACACGGCGGGUGCUAACGUCCGUCGUGAAGAGGGAAACAACCCAGACCGCCAGCUAAGGUCCCAAAGUCAUGGUUAAGUGGGAAACGAUGUGGGAAGGCCCAGACAGCCAGGAUGUUGGCUUAGAAGCAGCCAUCAUUUAAAGAAAGCGUAAUAGCUCACUGGUCGAGUCGGCCUGCGCGGAAGAUGUAACGGGGCUAAACCAUGCACCGAAGCUGCGGCAGCGACACUGUGUGUUGUUGGGUAGGGGAGCGUUCUGUAAGCCUGUGAAGGUGUGUCGUGAGGCAUGCUGGAGGUAUCAGAAGUGCGAAUGCUGACAUAAGUAACGAUAAAGCGGGUGAAAAGCCCGCUCGCCGGAAGACCAAGGGUUCCUGUCCAACGUUAAUCGGGGCAGGGUGAGUCGACCCCUAAGGCGAGGCCGAAAGGCGUAGUCGAUGGGAAACGGGUUAAUAUUCCCGUACUUGGUGUUACUGCGAAGGGGGGACGGAGAAGGCUAUGUUGGCCGGGCGACGGUUGUCCCGGUUUAAGCGUGUAGGUGUGUGUUCCAGGUAAAUCCGGUUCACUUUAACACUGAGGCGUGACGACGAGGCACUACGGUGCUGAAGCAACAAAUGCCCUGCUUCCAGGAAAAGCCUCUAAGCAUCAGGUAACAUCAAAUCGUACCCCAAACCGACACAGGUGGUCAGGUAGAGAAUACCAAGGCGCUUGAGAGAACUCGGGUGAAGGAACUAGGCAAAAUGGUGCCGUAACUUCGGGAGAAGGCACGCUGACACGUAGGUGAAGUGAUUUACUCAUGGAGCUGAAGUCAGUCGAAGAUACCAGCUGGCUGCAACUGUUUAUUAAAAACACAGCACUGUGCAAACACGAAAGUGGACGUAUACGGUGUGACGCCUGCCCGGUGCCGGAAGGUUAAUUGAUGGGGUCAGCGCAAGCGAAGCUCCUGAUCGAAGCCCCGGUAAACGGCGGCCGUAACUAUAACGGUCCUAAGGUAGCGAAAUUCCUUGUCGGGUAAGUUCCGACCUGCACGAAUGGCGUAAUGAUGGCCAGGCUGUCUCCACCCGAGACUCAGUGAAAUUGAACUCGCUGUGAAGAUGCAGUGUACCCGCGGCAAGACGGAAAGACCCCGUGAACCUUUACUAUAGCUUGACACUGAACAUUGAGCCUUGAUGUGUAGGAUAGGUGGGAGGCUUUGAAGUGUGGACGCCAGUCUGCAUGGAGCCGACCUUGAAAUACCACCCUUUAAUGUUUGAUGUUCUAACGUGGACCCGUUACCCGGGUUGCGGACAGUGUCUGGUGGGUAGUUUGACUGGGGCGGUCUCCUCCUAAAGAGUAACGGAGGAGCACGAAGGUUGGCUAAUCCUGGUCGGACAUCAGGAGGUUAGUGCAAUGGCAUAAGCCAGCUUGACUGCGAGCGUGACGGCGCGAGCAGGUGCGAAAGCAGGUCAUAGUGAUCCGGUGGUUCUGAAUGGAAGGGCCAUCGCUCAACGGAUAAAAGGUACUCCGGGGAUAACAGGCUGAUACCGCCCAAGAGUUCAUAUCGACGGCGGUGUUUGGCACCUCGAUGUCGGCUCAUCACAUCCUGGGGCUGAAGUAGGUCCCAAGGGUAUGGCUGUUCGCCAUUUAAAGUGGUACGCGAGCUGGGUUUAGAACGUCGUGAGACAGUUCGGUCCCUAUCUGCCGUGGGCGCUGGAGAACUGAGGGGGGCUGCUCCUAGUACGAGAGGACCGGAGUGGACGCAUCACUGGUGUUCGGGUUGUCAUGCCAAUGGCACUGCCCGGUAGCUAAAUGCGGAAGAGAUAAGUGCUGAAAGCAUCUAAGCACGAAACUUGCCCCGA